This 194-nucleotide ribosomal RNA is filed under the name uncultured Streptococcus sp. RNAcentral describes it as "partial 16S ribosomal RNA". It matches the Rfam family "Bacterial small subunit ribosomal RNA", at positions 1189 to 1382 of the family's 1533-position model. Lineage: Bacteria; Bacillati; Bacillota; Bacilli; Lactobacillales; Streptococcaceae. The record is from RNAcentral.
UACAUCAUGCCCCUUAUGACCUGGGCUACACACGUGCUACAAUGGUUGGUACAACGAGUUGCGAGUCGGUGACGGCGAGCUAAUCUCUUAAAGCCAAUCUCAGUUCGGAUUGUAGGCUGCAACUCGCCUACAUGAAGUCGGAAUCGCUAGUAAUCGCGGAUCAGCACGCCGCGGUGAAUACGUUCCCGGGCCUU